RNAcentral lists this ribosomal RNA (468 nucleotides) under uncultured bacterium. Its description in RNAcentral is "partial 16S ribosomal RNA". It matches the Rfam family "Bacterial small subunit ribosomal RNA", at positions 28 to 507 of the family's 1533-position model. The record is from RNAcentral.
GACGAACGCUGGCGGCGUGCUUAACACAUGCAAGUCGAACGGAAAGGCCCUGCUUUUGUGGGGUGCUCGAGUGGCGAACGGGUGAGUAACACGUGAGUAACCUGCCCUUGACUUUGGGAUAACUUCAGGAAACUGGGGCUAAUACCGGAUAGGAGCUCCUGCUGCAUGGUGGGGGUUGGAAAGUUUCGGCGGUUGGGGAUGGACUCGCGGCUUAUCAGCUUGCUGGUGGGGUAGUGGCUUACCAAGGCUUUGACGGGUAGCCGGCCUGAGAGGGUGACCGGCCACAUUGGGCCUGAGAUACGGCCCAGACUCCUACGGGAGGCAGCAGUGGGGAAUAUUGCACAAUGGGCGGAAGCCUGAUGCAGCAACGCCGCGUGCGGGAUGACGGCCUUCGGGUUGUAAACCGCUUUCGCCUGUGACGAAGCGUGAGUGACGGUAAUGGGUAAAGAAGCACCGGCUAACUACGUG